CCUAGGGUGGCAGCAGUCGGGAAUAUUGCGCAAUGGAGGAAACUCUGACGCAGUGACGCCGCGUGCAGGAAGAAGGUUUUCGGAUUGUAAACUGCUUUAGACAGGGAAGAAAAAAGACAGUACCUGUAGAAUAAGCUCCGGCUAACUACGUGCCAGCAGCCGCGGUAAUACGUAGGGAGCAAGCGUUAUCCGGAUUUAUUGGGUGUAAAGGGUGCGUAGACGGAGAAGCAAGUUAGUUGUGAAAUCCCUCGGCUUAACUGAGGAACUGCAACUAAAACUACUUCCCUUGAGUACUGGAGAGGAAAGUGGAAUUCCUAGUGUAGCGGUGAAAUGCGUAGAUAUUAGGAGGAACACCAGUGGCGAAGGCAUCUCACGAAUCCGCGAUUGACGCUGAUGCACGAAAGCGUGGGUAUCAAACAGGAUUAGAUACCCUAGUAGUC
This 440-nucleotide ribosomal RNA is filed under the name uncultured bacterium. RNAcentral describes it as "partial 16S ribosomal RNA". It matches the Rfam family "Bacterial small subunit ribosomal RNA", at positions 338 to 795 of the family's 1533-position model. The record is from RNAcentral.